This 421-nucleotide ribosomal RNA is filed under the name uncultured bacterium. RNAcentral describes it as "partial 16S ribosomal RNA". It matches the Rfam family "Bacterial small subunit ribosomal RNA", at positions 360 to 773 of the family's 1533-position model. The record is from RNAcentral.
AAUAUUGGACAAUGGGGGCAACCCUGAUCCAGCCAUGCCGCGUGUGUGAAGAAGGUCUUCGGAUUGUAAAGCACUUUAAGUUGGGAGGAAGGGUUGUAGAUUACUACUCUGCACUUUUGACGUUACCAUCAGAAUAAGCACCGUCUCACUUCUUUCCAGCAGCCGCGGUAAUACGAAGGGUGCAAGCGUUAAUCGGAAUUACUGGGCGUAAAGCGCGCGUAGGUGGUUCAGUAAGAUGGGUGUGAAAGCCCCGGGCUUAACCUGGGAAAUGCUUUCAUAACUGCUGAGCUAGAGUACGGUAGAGGGUAGUGGAAUUUCCUGUGUAGCGGUGAAAUGCGUAGAUAUAGGAAGGAACACCAGUGGCGAAGGCGACUACCUGGACUGAUACUGACACUGAGGUGCGAAAGCGUGGGGAGCAAAC